RNAcentral lists this long non-coding RNA (10906 nucleotides) under Volvox carteri. RNAcentral describes it as "long non-coding RNA (VCAR_LNC003136)". The record is from RNAcentral. Lineage: Eukaryota; Viridiplantae; Chlorophyta; Chlorophyceae; Chlamydomonadales; Volvocaceae.
AUUGUGACCAGGCCAUCUCCUUACAUGUCUUGCUGCACCAGCAUGAGCAGUGAUCCCUUCUGUUCAAAAUUUUCAGGCAACAUCGCAAUGAGGCAAAACAUUGUGCCGAAUCUGCCGUACAAAGAGUGUUCAAAGCUUCACGCUACUAACGGACGAAUACAUAAGCAUUCAUUUACCUUGAAAGAAUAAAGGAAUUCUAUAGCUUCAUACAAAUUCGCCUAUCAGCAACUCUCCCUGGUCGUUCAAAAGUUGCUUGAAGAUUCUACCAUCUCCAUACUAUGAAGGAGCGCUUCUUCAUUUCUUCAUUUUAUCUGAACCUUAACGUAUCCUUCCAACACAAUGUCCAUGGACAACGGUAAUGAGGUCGGCGCCUACGAGUUUGACCGGAACGCCCUGGACAACAUCGCCCGUCGGCGACAAGAUCGCCCACGCAAGAAAUACAGCCAGCAUCGUCCAGUGGAUGAGUUUGGAGUACAUAAGCUUGCCAGGGCAAACAAUCUAAGUCAAUUUACCGCGUGCCAAUUGGAGGAUGCCUUGUCCAAGGAAAGGUGCCAUAUGGACGACCUUGUGUUAGUUUAGUUGUUGCAUGUAAGCUUGUGAGUUGGUGGCCUGGUUCAUGCUUAUGGGCGACAAUUGAAAUGCCGGGACAAUGACUUAUUAUACUGGAUUCACAUGGUACGUUACGUUGCGAAGGGUGUCCCAAAUUCACUGAUGAAUUGACUACUGUUGUAUCCACUUCCACUGUUUAGGUGGUAGUGAAAACUACCGAUUAGUGAAUGAAGGGAGGCUAAGUGCCUCAGCGGUAAUGACGACUUGUACAGCAAUCUGUACGAUCCAAGAAUAUAGUCGUCACCGCGAAUUAUCACCAAUCGGUGCAAUCGUAACCCAAGUGGGUCUACCAGUGACAAGUGUCACGAUUAUAGCAAGUGUAACGACGCAAAUGCCAAUCUGAGCAUCCCGGGUUACGCCUUUGCUGUGUUACAAUGGUAUCGAGACGGGACUGCACGACUUCCGUAACAAACUUCGGGUCGGCGGUUCGAUUCUGGCAACCAGCAAGUCGCAAAUUGGCGAUUUCAUGGUGUAAUGGAUAAACCAGCGCACUGGCGCGAGGUGGGAUGGCUCCUGUGCUCGAAAUAAUGGCCGAGGACGUCCAUUGCUAAGUGGGGGGCAAUGUAACGACGCAAAUGCCAAUCUGAGCAUCCCGGGUUACGCCUUUGCUGUGUUACAGCAAGAGUGCUAUAACCCAGUAUCACACGUGAUAAAAGAUAGGCAAGUGCCCAAUGGUUAACCAAGUAAGAGCGAAGAUAAUGCCAAGUGGUGAAGUGCCAGAGUAUCGGGGAAAAUCCGAAGUUAAAUAAGCAAGUAUGCCACAACAACUAUCCCCCCUCUGGACGCAGCAUCCUCGCAGCAUUAGUGGCACGAGCCUUGACUGCUUGAAGUUCGGAGCGGAGGUCGGGCGUAAGGUUCUUCUCUGGCUCCCAGCUAUUAUGUUGGUUGGGGGUUGGAGUGGAACAGGAAGCAGCCAUGUAAAACACUCGUACGAUAGCACGAUAUGACAUAUGCGGGUCUUUUUCACUUGGUGGUGUUUAGCGCUAAGAGGAUAUGUGUGUGUGCGUGCGCCCACAUGACGCUCCUUAGGUUCUCUAGGUGGUCUCCCCUUACGGCGUCUUCCUAGGCGGCGGGCACGAUAAUCAAGAGUAAAGUGGAUCGCUCUUUAGCCACUGAACUGGCGGCGGUCCUGCAGGACUAAAAGGUGCAGAAGAACUGUCGCGANNNNNNNNNNNNNNNNNNNNNNNNNNNNNNNNNNNNNNNNNNNNNNNNNNCUUCAUUUUAUCUGAACCUUAACGUAUCCUUCCAACACAAUGUCCAUGGACAACGGUAAUGAGGUCGGCGCCUACGAGUUUGACCGGAACGCCCUGGACAACAUCGCCCGUCGGCGACAAGAUCGCCCACGCAAGAAAUACAGCCAGCAUCGUCCAGUGGAUGAGUUUGGAGUACAUAAGCUUGCCAGGGCAAACAAUCUAAGUCAAUUUACCGCGUGCCAAUUGGAGGAUGCCUUGUCCAAGGAAAGGUGCCAUAUGGACGACCUUGUGUUAGUUUAGUUGUUGCAUGUAAGCUUGUGAGUUGGUGGCCUGGUUCAUGCUUAUGGGCGACAAUUGAAAUGCCGGGACAAUGACUUAUUAUACUGGAUUCACAUGCUACGUUACGUUGCGAAGGGUGUCCCAAAUUCACUGAUGAAUUGACUACUGUUGUAUCCACUUCCACUGUUUAGGUGGUAGUGAAAACUACCGAUUAGUGAAUGAAGGGAGGCUAAGUGCCUCAGCGGUAAUGACGACUUGUACAGCAAUCUGUACGAUCCAAGAAUAUAGUCGUCACCGCGAAUUAUCACCAAUCGGUGCAAUCGUAACCCAAGUGGGUCUACCAGUGACAAGUGUCACGAUUAUAGCAAGUGUAACGACGCAAAUGCCAAUCUGAGCAUCCCGGGUUACGCCUUUGCUGUGUUACAAUGGUAUCGAGACGGGACUGCACGACUUCCGUAACAAACUUCGGGUCGGCGGUUCGAUUCUGGCAACCAGCAAGUCGCAAAUUGGCGAUUUCAUGGUGUAAUNNNNNNNNNNNNNNNNNNNNNNNNNNNNNNNNNNNNNNNNNNNNNNNNNNNNNNNNNNNNNNNNNNNNNNNNNNNNNNNNNNNNNNNNNNNNNNNNNNNNNNNNNNNNNNNNNNNNNNNNNNNNNNNNNNNNNNNNNNNNNNNNNNNNNGGGUGGAACCCGUAACUAAAGAAGAAAGGAGAUUGUCCCGUAGAGCGAUUGACAGCGUUAUUCAUCGCGAAUUCUGCAGCCGAAAGAUAGGUAUCCCAAACGCGCGGGUUGUUGCCAGCGUAGGUUCGCAGCAUAUCACCCUAAAGUGCGAUUCAUCCGCUCAGUCUGACCGUCAGUUUGUGGGUGGUAAGCAGUAGAAAGGCUGACUCGGAAAUUCGCCAAAGUGCCAAGGGCUCCCCAAAACUUGGCACCAAACUGAGGUCCUCUAUCAGAGAUAAUCGAUUUGGGAACACCAUGUAAACGCACCACGUUAUCAAAGAACAGUCGAGCGGUUUGCUCCGAGGUGACUGCUGUGGUGGUCGGUACCAAAUGUACCAUCUUGGUCAAGCGGUCAACAAUGACGAGGACAGCAUCGUAUCCCCCCUCAGAAAGAGGAAGUCCAACGACGUAGCUGGAACCUUGACGACUGCAUGCUACAAUCCAGGUACGGCAUGCAGUGGGCCGGUGACACUCAAGAAAUCCUGCAUACACUUCCUUAAUCUUAGAUGCCAUAGUGCUUUCAUUUUGUUGUAAAUACAGAUUUAUACCGAUUAGUACUGCGCUUGACAUUGAGCAUCUAACAACGACUCACUGCCAACACAAAGCGUUGACUACAGGUGUUUAUGCCAUUAGACCUCAUUUAAGUGAGCGGGGACAGGAGCUUGCCACAAAGCUGAAGAUUGAGAACAAGCUUCUUCUCUGUGAGGGCGCCCUUAGGGCACCCUGUCCAGUCUGCUAAGCUCUCUCACUGACGAUGGAGACAAUGAAAUCUUCCAAUGUGAUUGGGAGGCACAGGAGCAGACCAACCUUUUCAAGCUGCUCGGGCUGGGUGAGUCACGGGACUGUGUUGACCAGGUCCACAUUGGCGGCGGCCACACCAUGACUCUGCACUCAUCGUCACAGAACUUUGUUACCUGGUUCUAUGUUAUUCUGACAUCUACGCUAGCUAUUCACCGGCAUCAAGGGUUGCAGUCCGAUGCUGCUGCACAAGCAUGAUAACUAAUGUAAUGUUUUAUUGUACUUUGCCCCUCUAUUUGUUUUCAAUGCAGAUGUAUUUUAGCUAUGAGUGUCGAGGAGGCAGAGCAGUGUCUUGAAGCUGUUUCAAGCAGCAGCCGGAUCCCAUGACCAAUGGAUGUCAAGCGCUGGACCAGAUCACCUAGCAGCAGAUCAGAAAGUGAGUUCCUGUCAAAGUUUGUGUUGGUUUCAUGUCAGGGUUACAAAUAGGUUGGUUGGGUGCUCACCAAGAAUUGCAUGGUUUUGCGACAUCGUGUUAAUUAUGUGCUUCAGUAUAGCAACCUGUCCAUUUUUACUCCACUAAGCCUAUAUGUCUAUAACUAACUGACUGACACAUGUCCCGCUGCUGUUGCAGUCAACCACCUUGGACAUGGUGAAGCAGUGGGCCACAGAUGUGGGCGGUGGAGAUUGCAACAGCCAUGAUGACAGCAAAGGCCGCCUCAAAGCGCAGCAGUUCUGCGCCUGAUGUCGUCUUGACCUAAGCGGAUCUCCCCUUCAUGGAAACAAAGGCGAAGGGGAAGGGGGGCAAGAAACGACGGUGGUAAUGGAUGCACGUUUAUUUUGGGACGAAUGCACAUGUAAUGUGAUGAACAGCUGCAUUGUCUUCUUUUGUGGAGGUGCCUUUUCUUAGGGCUGAAAGCACGUUCGUAUCACAUGAUCAUGAUCAGCCGUGUCUUGAGACGGCUUGGCUUAUAAGCAAAUCCAUCUCAAGACACGGCUGAUCACGUGAUAAGNNNNNNNNNNNNNNNNNNNNNNNNNNNNNNNNNNNNNNNNNNNNNNNNNNAGAGUGAGAGACACUGAGGCACUAUAUUUCGCCCACUCAGGAUGAUUGGGACGAACACCUGCCACUCAUUGAGUUCGCUAUUAAUAACUCGAGGCAGAGCUCAACGGGUGCCACCCCGUUUAGCCUUAAUGGUAUCAAGCAGCCACAUGUGCUGGUUGACUUGCACCUGAAAACCAAAGUGCCUGCCGCUGACCUCUAUCCCAAGGUCAUGCACAAACGUAUUGGACCGCAAAACUUAAGGCUGUGCAAUCCCGCCAGUGCAAUGUUGUCGACAAGCACCGGCAUGUGGUGCGUUUUGAGGUUGGGGAAUCCGUGCUGCUCAGCACCCGCAACAUCCAGUUGAAAUCUCCUGGAGCAAAGAAAUUAUUGCCUAAGUUUAUUGGGCCAUAUAAGGUUGUCGCUCGAGUGGGAGAGAAUGCGGUAAUAUUGUGAUUACCCGCGACUUCCCGACUCCAUCCAGUCUUCCACGUAUCCUUGCUCAAACCAUUCAAGGACGAUGGAACACGACAACCGCCGCCCCCGUUCAUAAUUGAUGAAGAGCCAUAUUACAUGGUCGAGGCACUACUUGACCACCGUGAUGUGAAAAUCCGAGGUGGAACCGGCAAAACACGUCGAGAAUAUCUGGUUAAAUGGGAAGGCUAUGACUCCAGUCAUAACACCUAUGAGCCGGAAGAUUCCCUGCAUCAGUCCGUUCCCCUGGCCAAAGCUAUUGACGACUAUGAACGACGGUUGGCAGCAAAGUCGGGGCAACCUACACCAAAAAGAAAAGUGGUCCUGACCACCUCUCCUUUGGUAGCACCCCGGAACACUACCCCAGAACAACCGAAACGGAAAGCACCUGCUCUCAAGAAAAGGUGACACUCCUGGAACGGUUCACUUCUGAGGGGGAGGGAUGUAGCAAGCUACAUUUACCUUAGAAAGCUAUUAAUGCUUAAUCACAGUAACGGUACGGUCCCGUAGUUAUGAACCAUACUCGUUAACUGUAUGAACUCACUUUCUGUUGCGCUAUCACAACCUAGUGUACGACACCAAGACUCCAGGAAUGGAGAUGGCAGCAGGUGGGCCGCAUUUAACCACCCAGGUGAAGUGCUUCGGCCAGACACUUCUGUAUCACUAUACUAGUGUUCAGGGUUCAAGACCUUGCUGACUUCCUGUGUCUUUUCUCAUGUCUAACGCUGAGCCGUCAAUCGUGGUCGAGACCCUCCUCUUCCACGGCCUUACAUCUCAAGUCUUCCGCUAAAAUGCCUAAGGUAAGAGAUGGCUGUUACAGGCAAUCCUACAGGUCGGGACCACCCUGGGCGCUUCAUGCUGGGGCCCCGCCCAAAAAGGGGGUGCUGAAAAACUGGCUGUAAAGGAGGUCCAGAUCCAUAUCAUGUGCCUGUUGGAGGAGCAUAAGGAGACCCAGUUCCAGACAGUUGUCACCAGGAUGGCAAAGGAGCUCAAGGAUGCACAGACCGUCAUUCGGAGCCAAGAAGCCAGCAUCAGCAUGCUCACGUGGGUUCUCUCUUGGCACAUGCAUGUUGCUGCAGCCAGAUGGGCGGUGUUACCCACACCAUGUGCAGGGUUCUUUAGAUUCCACCCAUGCACCACUGCUGGUUUGUGAUCCCAUGUAAGGAGCACUCAUUGGGUGGCGACACUGAUGCGGUUCACGAGGCGAUUCAGAGCUUCUACGAGGUGCAGAACGCCAAGGCCAGGGCACAGGGAAUGGAUGAUGCCUAUUUGGGCCCUGGAGCUCUCAUCCACAGCAUUCCCAGGCAGCUAUUGGAAUGAUGACCAGGAUAUUCAUCUUGCAGAUACCUUAGUCGAGCGAUGAGCUCGUCCUUUGACUUUAGCUCCUCUUCCUUUGGCUUGAGCGUUUGCAUCAUUAUGAUUUCGUGCGCCACCAACGCAUUGGGACCUCCGGCGAUGAUCCUUUUACGCAAUUCAUCCUCGUUAAGUUGUUUAUCCGUUGCGGGGCAAUGUAUUCUUUAAAAUAAUUUAAUCUUUUUAUACUAAUAAAAAAACAAUGCAUGUGAUAUUCCUGUGAUUCGCGGAGUACUGCAAAAAUACGAAAAACUUACAUGUGUAGUCAGAACGUUUGUGAUUCUGAUUUCCGCGAAUCUAAUACAAGAAUUAUUCAAGGAUCAUGCGUGAUAUAUAUAACGCGUUUGUCUUAGGAUUUUUUGUCGCCCACCAAUAUAACCCGUUUUCGACUCCGUCCGCUAGCUCAUACAAUACCUGAAAAUGUUAUUAAAAUCCAUUUCUUAUAGAGCUGUAUCAUAUGAUAGGUAUGUCUAUAUGAAAAGGAUAUCGUCGACAACUUAACCGUCACACAACGACAAAAUGAACAAGACGACACAAUGGUGUCGCCAUCGUCGUCAUUUUCAUCUUCAGAAUUCAAGGUUAUACUAUUGAACAAGAAUUCAGCAAGAAUGGAUAAACUCAACGAGGCUGUAAAGUCUAUGGGUUUGGCAAAGUGGGCAGCAGUGUAAAGCGAACCAAUGCCCACUAGACAUUCGGCACGAAGAAAUCUACGUGCAGGAUCGUGCAGCAUGCAGCUCUCGUGAUGCACAGCUCAUAUGUAUCCGUAUCCGUAUGAUUCUCGCGGUAUCAAAAAGCGACUGUAUUAUGAAGAGUAGAGCCAGCGGGCCAGCUGGCCGUGCACUGCACUAGAGACCAAUCAUGUCACCUGCUUGAUCAGGUUGAGCUUCUUUGCCGUGCUAAACGGCUGCCUCAACCUCAUCCUCACCCUCCUCCUCCUCCUCCUCCUCCUCCUCCUCCUCAUCAUCAUCAUCAUCAUCCCCAUCAUCCGUGUUCGGCUCCUCCUCCUCCUCCUCCUCCUCCUUCUCCUUCUCCUUCUCCUUCUUCUCCUUUUUCUCCUUCUCCGUCUUCUCGUUCUCCUUAAGGAGAAGGAGAAGCUUACGGAGAAGCUUCUCCUCCUCCUUCUUCUCCUUCCUCUCCUUCUUCUCCUUCUUCUUCUUCUCCUUCUCCUUCUCCCACAGCUCCUUGGCGGUUCCGUAGAUAGAAAUACUAUGCUGUUUCUGUUUUAUGAACUUGUAGAAUAGCUUGUUGCCGACUUUAAUAUCGUAGUUGUGAUCCCAUGACAGAAAGAAACUGCCUUGACAUUCUCUCACUUCAUGCUGUGCAUCUCUCAGAACCUUAACACCCUCAGGAACAGCAACAGCUUGAACCCCAUUCGCAAAGAAAAGGCGUGCAAAGCCUACAGCCUCUAUCUCAAACUUGAUGUACACGCCCUCGGCAACGUAGAGUUUGUUCUCCAACUCAUCAGGAGGGCCUGUUCUCAGAUAGCUGAUGGACCCAGCGAACAUGUUACUGGUAUCCUGCACAAUACAUAAUUAAACGUCAUUAUUUCGAGCGCUUCUCCUGUUAACAACGUCUGCCUUCGACCAUACCUUUUAAAGGUGACAAACCCUUAUGUAGAUUUGGUUCGGAAUUCCGAAAGGAUAGUUGUAUGUAUGUUGUUACAGGGUGGUCAACUUCGCCAGCGGCCCCCUUUCCCGGGGCAGUCCCUGCUCUCCCCUGCUAGAGGGGCACCCUAAUCCGUCACCCCAUCCGACUUCAGAAUGUAUUCGUUGGGUUCGGCAACUCACCACCAGCAUCCAACCAAAUCUAGCGGAUCAACGGCGCAUCAACUUAGUUCCUGGUCAGCUCGCAAGUUGAUAUUAUCACGUCCUACACCGUCCAUAAGAUGGGGGGCCACCUCCCAUUUCAUCACUCCUUAAACACCCGAGGAGCCGGCAGGCGGAUUUGAACCCGGGUCGACUGGGUCGACUGGGAGCAGAAGUUGUAUGUAUGGUCAGUGUCCUCAGGACCACAUAAGUAGGCAAAUUUGUAAGAACAUACUGUAUAUGCAAGUAACUAUAGGUUGUCCUUAAGUCCUUUUUGGAGGUGUCAAUGACUCUGCUUGUACAGGCCAGGGUCGCCAGCUGGCAGGUACCUUCCAACACCUUCCAAGCCAUAACAAUCUGGGAACUGGGGGGGUCGAAAUUCCAUAAAAUAAGGCUUUCCUUUUCCAUAAAAUGAGAUCUCCUUUUUCCAUAAAAUGACAUGUUAUUUUCCAUAAUUCGUCCACAAUAAUACAAAUGCUCCCCGAACCCAUGACAAAAAAAGGCGGGCGGUGACCUUUCACCCAAGGCCUAGGAAGACGGUUGGAGGAGGGUAGGAUCCGGGCUGGAAUUAGGGAAGAGCUCUGUCGCAGAAUUGGCCUGGAUUUUAUUCCUGACAAAAGAAUUGGUCCGUCGGUGAAUUGUUCUGGCGGGCUCGCCAGAGGUAUUCGAAUUGCGCUGUGGAACCUCGGAAUUGGGCUGUGCUGGGCCUGAAUUGGCCUGUCCGGGUGUCGAAUUGGCCUGACAGGGUGUCGAAUUAGCUUUGCAGGGUAUCGAGAUAGCCUUGCAUGGUAUCGAAUUGACCUGUUCGGGGUGUCAAAUUGGCCUUGCAGGGUAUCGAAUUAGCGUGUUCAGGGUGUCGAAUUGGCUGUCAAGUUGGCAGGAUUGGCUCGAGCUGGCAUCCAAAAGCACAUGACUUUUAAGGAAUUUACAGAAAACUUUGCAAGGGGACCGCUUACAAGUGCCUCAUGUGUGUAUUGGUUUCGAUCCCAGGACAUGGAGCAGGAAAACUUGCACAUCUGCUUACCGUGCUCUGGCACUACUACUACUACCACUACCGGAGGCAAGCACUCAGGGCAAUACUCACUGCAAUACCCAGUCAAGUCAGUUGCCGAGGCCCUACUGUUUUCCUACCAUACUUCAUCGGCAGUCUUUCCAGUUUAUCCCACAAUACUCGUAUGCAUGAAUAGGUUCGGGUGGAAACAAUGGCAAAUCUCCGAUACACCACUAAACUCAGUUCCAUGAGCUACAAUGAAAACAAAUGAAAAUGCAGAUGUCUGUCGAGAAGAAUGUGUGCUCCAUAUGCAUUCUGUGCCUUAAUCCAUCGAGCUCUCCGUUGGGUGGGGCAUGGCCCAUGAAGUUGCCCCUGGUAUUCCGCCCAUGCAACCAAACACUGACACAAAACGAGAGGCCUUUUCAGCGGCCAGCUAAUCGAGAGGCCUUUUCAGCGGCCAGCUACUACACCCAACCCCUCUGCUUGAAACCAUAUGGCCUCUUCACCAAACUCGCUUUCGCUGACAUCCAUCCCAAUGGCAUACUCCAGGCCGGUUCCGGCCCGGUUCCGACCUAACGGGUCCAGUUAACGAGAUGGGUAACCGGUCGGUAGGAUUACCGGGCGAACCGUUAUCCGUUAACCGUCCCCAGUAAUCGGUAACCGAUGUCGGUAACCUGGCAUGAGGAAAAAUGCAUUUCUGAUUGCAACCAGUUUCUUUGUGACAAUGCCCAUUGUCACAAGGUUCAUGCCCACGUGUCACACCCCAACAAGCUUGAGGAGGUUAAGGCAAUGUGAAUGCCGGGUGACAGGGGUGACAGUCUUGUGCAGGCACAUUUGGAGACUAGUUUACACUGAGAUUGGGGUGACGUUGGAUUAGAAUACUUGCAGUUCAUGAAAUUGAGGAAAUGUGUUGCAUAGGCAUAUCCAAACGUUUCAGAGGGACGUUGUUUCGCCCGUAACAAACUUGUUACGGGCGAAACAAACUGGAUUUCCACAGUCCCGCCACUCAAAGAGCUCCCCACACCAUCGCAAAGUCCCUUUUUUAUUACAGACACAUGUAACAAGUUGUCAUAGCUUGAGAUUGUCGAUAUAUGACUGCUGGAUUGUGACCAGGCCAUCUCCUUACAUGUCUUGCUGCACCAGCAUGAGCAGUGAUCCCUUCUGUUCAAAAUUUUCAGGCAACAUCGCAAUGAGGCAAAACAUUGUGCCGAAUCUGCCGUACAAAGAGUGUUCAAAGCUUCACGCUACUAACGGACGAAUACAUAAGCAUUCAUUUACCUUGAAAGAAUAAAGGAAUUCUAUAGCUUCAUACAAAUUCGCCUAUCAGCAACUCUCCCUGGUCGUUCAAAAGUUGCUUGAAGAUUCUACCAUCUCCAUACUAUGAAGGAGCGCUUCUUCAUUUCUUCAUUUUAUCUGAACCUUAACGUAUCCUUCCAACACAAUGUCCAUGGACAACGGUAAUGAGGUCGGCGCCUACGAGUUUGACCGGAACGCCCUGGACAACAUCGCCCGUCGGCGACAAGAUCGCCCACGCAAGAAAUACAGCCAGCAUCGUCCAGUGGAUGAGUUUGGAGUACAUAAGCUUGCCAGGGCAAACAAUCUAAGUCAAUUUACCGCGUGCCAAUUGGAGGAUGCCUUGUCCAAGGAAAGGUGCCAUAUGGACGACCUUGUGUUAGUUUAGUUGUUGCAUGUAAGCUUGUGAGUUGGUGGNNN